GGCCCGAUAGCUCAGUGGUAGAGCGAGAGAUUGCAGAUCUCUAGGUCACGUGUUCGAUCCACGUUCUGGCCU
This 72-nucleotide transfer RNA is filed under the name Exophiala spinifera. Its description in RNAcentral is "tRNA-Cys (GCA) (tRNA-Cys-GCA-1-1)". It matches the Rfam family "tRNA". From Rfam's summary of the family: Transfer RNA (tRNA) molecules are approximately 80 nucleotides in length. Their secondary structure includes four short double-helical elements and three loops (D, anti-codon, and T loops). Lineage: Eukaryota; Fungi; Ascomycota; Eurotiomycetes; Chaetothyriales; Herpotrichiellaceae. The record is from RNAcentral. RNAcentral also lists the same sequence under 1 other name.